RNAcentral lists this transfer RNA (76 nucleotides) under Saccharimonas aalborgensis (SeqCode). Its description in RNAcentral is "Candidatus Saccharimonas aalborgensis tRNA-Ile2 (CAT) (tRNA-Ile2-CAT-1-1)". It matches the Rfam family "tRNA". From Rfam's summary of the family: Transfer RNA (tRNA) molecules are approximately 80 nucleotides in length. Their secondary structure includes four short double-helical elements and three loops (D, anti-codon, and T loops). Further hydrogen bonds mediate the characteristic L-shaped molecular structure. tRNAs have two regions of fundamental functional importance: the anti-codon, which is responsible for specific mRNA codon recognition, and the 3' end, to which the tRNAs corresponding amino acid is attached (by aminoacyl-tRNA synthetases). tRNAs cope with the degeneracy of the genetic code in two manners: having more than one tRNA (with a specific anti-codon) for a particular amino acid; and 'wobble' base-pairing, i.e. permitting non-standard base-pairing at the 3rd anti-codon position. The record is from RNAcentral. Lineage: Bacteria; Candidatus Saccharimonadota; Candidatus Saccharimonadia; Saccharimonadales (SeqCode); Saccharimonadaceae (SeqCode). RNAcentral also lists the same sequence under 2 other names.
GGGGGUGUAGCUCAGGGGUUAGAGCAGCGGGCUCAUAACCUGUUGGUCGAUGGUUCGAUCCCAUCCACCCCCACCA